This 176-nucleotide ribosomal RNA is filed under the name Oscillospiraceae bacterium. Its description in RNAcentral is "partial 16S ribosomal RNA". It matches the Rfam family "Bacterial small subunit ribosomal RNA", at positions 1 to 158 of the family's 1533-position model. The record is from RNAcentral. Lineage: Bacteria; Bacillati; Bacillota; Clostridia; Eubacteriales; Oscillospiraceae.
UUUAUUGAGAGUUUGAUCCUGGCUCAGGACGAACGCUGGCGGCGUGCUUAACACAUGCAAGUCGAACGGAGUACCUUGGAAAGAGAUUUCGGUCAAUGGAAGAGGAUACUUAGUGGCGGACGGGUGAGUAACGCGUGAGGAACCUACCUCUCAGAGGGGGACAACAGUUGGAAACG